UAUUUCUUUAUGGAAACGUGUCUAUCCGUGAUAAGAGUAUCAACAGGUACAAAGUUCUGGAUCCGCUGCAGAGACCUCGCCAAUCCCUCUUGCUCCAUGUGGUAGCUACCCCCCACUUCAUUACUCUUUUGACACAAAAGCUAUAUUAGAACAGGACGAAGGUCCCGUACUUGGCACUGUGCCCAAGAGAAUCGGCACGUCCAUCACCACCACAUACUAUACCACCAUCCCUGCAAGGUGCUUAACAUCCACAUCUGUCUCUCCCUCCAUAGCUGCAUGGUUGCUGUGUGCAACACCAUCUGUUGGUGGCGGAAAAAUGUUCGGACAGAAAUAACAGCUGUUCCCAUCUGCUUUAAAACCCGUAGUACCUUCGAAGCAGUAGCUCCUGCAAACAGAAUGCCUGCAGACAGAUGAAUGUUACAAGCAG
Non-coding RNA from Ciona intestinalis (vase tunicate), 427 nucleotides. NCBI's taxonomy places the organism in Eukaryota, Metazoa, Chordata, Ascidiacea, Phlebobranchia, Cionidae. The record is from RefSeq and is a predicted model, not a curated record.